This 307-nucleotide ribosomal RNA is filed under the name uncultured bacterium. Its description in RNAcentral is "bacterial SSU rRNA". It matches the Rfam family "Bacterial small subunit ribosomal RNA", at positions 28 to 337 of the family's 1533-position model. The record is from RNAcentral.
GACGAACGCUGGCGGCGUGCUUAACACAUGCAAGUCGAGCGGUAAGGCCCUUUCGGGGGUACACGAGCGGCGAACGGGUGAGUAACACGUGGGUGACCUGCCCUUAGCUCUGGGAUAAGCCUGGGAAACUGGGUCUAAUACCGGAUAUGACUCCAUAACGCAUGUUGUGGGGUGGAAAGCCUUGUGCGGCUAGGGAUGGGCCCGCGGCCUAUCAGCUUGUUGGUGGGGUGAUGGCCACCAAGGCGACGACGGGUAGCCGGCCUGAGAGGGCGACCGGCCACACUGGGACUGAGACACGGCCCAGACU